This 462-nucleotide ribosomal RNA is filed under the name uncultured Desulfobulbus sp. Its description in RNAcentral is "bacterial SSU rRNA". It matches the Rfam family "Bacterial small subunit ribosomal RNA", at positions 925 to 1382 of the family's 1533-position model. The record is from RNAcentral. Lineage: Bacteria; Pseudomonadati; Thermodesulfobacteriota; Desulfobulbia; Desulfobulbales; Desulfobulbaceae.
ACAAGCGGUGGAGUAUGUGGUUAAUUCGAUGCAACGCGAAGAACCUUACCUGGUCUUGACAUCCCGGAGACCCUUAGGAAACUAGGGGGUGCUUCCAUCUGGAAGAAUCUGGAGACAGGUGCUGCAUGGCUGUCGUCAGCUCGUGUCGUGAGAUGUUGGGUUAAGUCCCGCAACGAGCGCAACCCUUGCCUUUAGUUGCCAGCAGUUCGGCUGGGCACUCUAAAGGGACUGCCGGUGUUAAACCGGAGGAAGGUGGGGAUGACGUCAAGUCCUCAUGGCCUUUAUGACCAGGGCUACACACGUACUACAAUGGCCGAUACAAAGGGCAGCGACACUGUGAGGUGAAGCCAAUCCCGUAAAAUCGGUCUCAGUCCGGAUUGGAGUCUGCAACUCGACUCCAUGAAGUUGGAAUCGCUAGUAAUCGUGGAUCAGCAUGCCACGGUGAAUACGUUCCCGGGCCUU